UACGGAGGAUGCAAGCGUUAUCCGGAUUUAUUGGGUUUAAAGGGUCCGCAGGCGGGUUCAUAAGUCAGCGGUGAAAUCCUGCAGCUUAACUGUAGAACUGCCAUUGAUACUGUGAUUCUUGAAUAUGGUCGACGUGGGCGGAAUAUGACAUGUAGCGGUGAAAUGCAUAGAUAUGUCAUAGAACACCAAUUGCGAAGGCAGCUCACGAGACCAUUAUUGACGCUCAGGGACGAAAGCGUGGGUAGCGAACAGG
RNAcentral lists this ribosomal RNA (253 nucleotides) under uncultured bacterium. Its description in RNAcentral is "partial 16S ribosomal RNA". It matches the Rfam family "Bacterial small subunit ribosomal RNA", at positions 524 to 776 of the family's 1533-position model. The record is from RNAcentral.